CAGACUCAUCAAUUUCUCUGCAUCAGAAGCAAGUCGCUGGAGAAUCUUCUUGUUCAUUUCUUGAUUUGCCUCAGACGAGUUCAUUGAUAACUCUAACUUGUCAAUACCCAACUCCUUCUCCACUUCUGACUCUGUAGGUGGAUGCUUGCCCCUCCAAUCCAGAUUCCUCAAUUGAUUAUUCGAGGUAGGCCCCUCUGUUGGAUGAUUUGCCCGUUUCUUAAAAUCCCUCAUGCUACGACUGAGGCUGCUGCCUUCUGCAGUUUACCCAACUCCUUCUCGACUUCUGACUCUGUAGGUGGAUGUUUGCCCCUCCAAUCCAAAUUCCUCAAUUGAUUGUUCGAGGUAGGCCCCUCUGUUGGAUGAUUUGUCCGUUUCUUGAAAUCCCUCAUGCUACGACUGAGGCUGCUGCCUUCUGCAGUUUCCCACAGCUCAAGCAUCUGAUCAUCCACUCUCUCUGCCACAGAAGUAGCUCUUCUAAUUCUUUCCGGUGAGCUAUCAGAGACAUGAUCAAGUGGUAUAUCUUUCAUUAACG
Molecule: long non-coding RNA, 532 nt
Filed under: Nicotiana benthamiana
Lineage: Eukaryota; Viridiplantae; Streptophyta; Magnoliopsida; Solanales; Solanaceae
Description: long non-coding RNA (NBEN_LNC030653)
Source: RNAcentral